This 119-nucleotide ribosomal RNA is filed under the name uncultured archaeon. RNAcentral's name for it is "partial 16S ribosomal RNA". The record is from RNAcentral.
UCUACGGGGCGCAGCAGGCGCGAAAACUUCGCAAUUGCGAAAGCACGACAAGGUUAUAUCCGAGUGGUUGCUCCUAAGUGUGCGCUGUGACAGUGUCUAGAAUGACAGUGAUACCUAUG